RNAcentral lists this transfer RNA (75 nucleotides) under Salicibibacter cibarius. RNAcentral describes it as "Salicibibacter sp. NKC5-3 tRNA-Asn". It matches the Rfam family "tRNA". From Rfam's summary of the family: Transfer RNA (tRNA) molecules are approximately 80 nucleotides in length. Their secondary structure includes four short double-helical elements and three loops (D, anti-codon, and T loops). Lineage: Bacteria; Bacillati; Bacillota; Bacilli; Caryophanales; Bacillaceae. The record is from RNAcentral. RNAcentral also lists the same sequence under 1 other name.
UCCACAGUAGCUCAGUGGUAGAGCAACCGGCUGUUAACCGGUAGGUCGCUGGUUCGAAUCCGGCCUGUGGAGCCA